AGGCAUUUGGAGCAAACUUUGACAUACCUUUAGAAAAUUAAAUGACAACCAUCCAUCUAAUGUGAAUUGAGCAUUUGCCGUAUGCAAAGCACCAUGCUGAGGUCCUGGAGAAUUCAGCCAGGGCUCACCCUUACCUUUAAGGAGCCGACAGUUUGCUCAGAGGGAGACAAGAAGGAAGAAAGCACAGCAUGGAGUGUCUUUUCAAAGACUAAAAUAAAAAUCCCCCUAAAAGGGAUCCUUCUUGUAAAACCUUCCAGAGCUGUUGGAAAGAAAAAAAAAAUGCAUAAAGAGCCAAGUGCUUAUAUUCUGGCCAAGUUAUGAGCCUCUGAGAACAAGAGCUCGAGGGGAGGACUGUUAACCCCAUCUAGCCCGCACAAGUAGCUUUUUUCUUCUUGCUCUGCACUGCUUGCAAACUUGUGGUCCUCUCACAGCUAGAGGCCAGCGUGCUGGAGAAAUCCAGGAAUCCGCAACACAAGGAUGACAGCCUCAGUCUGAAAGACUCCCUGGUGCCAACCUCCAGAUUCUCGUCUGUCGCUUCAGACUACGACUAGUUGACAGAGCAGCAAAAUUUCGACUCCAAUAGCCUCGAAUGUGCUUCUGGGCAAAGAGGCAGAGCUGACGAGGGAAGGGAUUUAUUUAAAGAGUUUCUCUUGGGUAUUUGUCAAACUUAUUUCCUGGCUGUGUACAAAGAGGGGAUUCAAGUUCAACCUUCUUCUGAGGCUCUGGGUCCAGCCACUUAACCGGAAGGUGCAGGAAGCAUGAAGGCCGUGAUUUUUGUCCUAUCUGUCUUGGGAACAGCAGCUGCAAUCCCGGUAAAUU
Molecule: long non-coding RNA, 819 nt
Organism: Tupaia belangeri chinensis (Chinese tree shrew)
Lineage: Eukaryota; Metazoa; Chordata; Mammalia; Scandentia; Tupaiidae
Exons: 4
Source: RefSeq, a predicted model, not a curated record